Molecule: unclassified non-coding RNA, 311 nt
Filed under: Rhizophlyctis rosea
Lineage: Eukaryota; Fungi; Chytridiomycota; Chytridiomycetes; Rhizophlyctidales; Rhizophlyctidaceae
Description: partial internal transcribed spacer region
Rfam family: Eukaryotic small subunit ribosomal RNA (bases 1-46)
Source: RNAcentral
AAGUCGUAACAAGGUAACCGUAGGUGAACCUGCGGUUGGAUCAUUAACAAAUCAUUUAGGCCCCUGGCUGCCUCAAAAGGGCGAAGGGGGAAAACCUAAACAUUUGUGUGCACCAUAUCUGUCCUUGGCAGUUCGAGUGUCCUGGGUCGCGUAACUGCCUCAGGUACCUACCGAGGCUUUCCUUUCGGGGUUUGCCAAAGUUGGGCUGCCGCUUCUAGAACAAACCUUUUGUAAUUUAUUUUUGCCUGAAUUUGUUUGAUCUUCAUGAUUGAAUUUAAAUACAACUUUUGACAACGGAUCUCUUGGCUCUC